AUGAAUCUUGUUUAUGUAGUACUAUCCAAUUGUAGAGAGAAGUGUUUACCUGCUUGUUUAUUAAUUUACAGUUGUGUUCCCCAGCUGCAAUCAGAGCAGUUUCUCUUUCAGAAGUUUAUUAAAAGCAAGCAUCAAAGAGAAGGUCUUCCACCAAGGGCUGGGAAAUGCAUAAAGCUCUUCCCUGUAGGAGGAGUGGUAUCUCCCAUAUGCAUCUGUAGAAAAUUGUUGGAAAGUGUUCUACAAAGACCAAGAGAAAUGUCAAAGGCAAGUGCAGAGAGUGAACAUGACUAUGUGGGAAGAAGAGUGAAGAUUCAUGCCCAGAAAACAUUAUUCUUACCUCACACCAGUUUUACUUCGUGUUACUUCGUUGAACAUGCUAGGAUGAGAUCAGCUAGCUGUACAGUGAGAUGUGACGAUCAGGAUAUUUACAGCAUGGGAUGUGACCUUCGGCUGCCCUGGAACAGGGCCAUCGAGGGAAAUCCAAAUCCGGGACAACUGCAAGAAAUCACAUAAAGCUGGGACUAAAAACACAUGAAGAGGGAAAGGUGUUAUUUCAGAGGGAAUAAUCAAUUAAAAAUGGACCUAGAAUAUAUAUUGUUUUAUUCUGUAUAUAUAAUCUGGAAUAGUAUUUUCAAAGAAGAUAUAUCACUUAAAAAACAUGCUACACUGCCAUUCCCCCCAGCCAAAUCCUGCCCUCAUGUGUGUCCAGGGUAUUAUGCCAACUGACAACACUGCACGUGUACUCGUGAUUUCGUCAUAGAGUGUUCUGUUUCCAAAGCAAGAAAAAGACUAGAGGACCUUGUUGGAAGUGGAAGUUGGGCAAGAAAAAUAUACUCUACUGACCAAAAAAUAAAACCACGUGUAAACACUGGAAGUGUUGUAUU
Molecule: long non-coding RNA, 884 nt
Filed under: Anser brachyrhynchus (Pink-footed goose)
Lineage: Eukaryota; Metazoa; Chordata; Aves; Anseriformes; Anatidae
Description: lncRNA (ENSABRG00000008296.1)
Source: RNAcentral